UGUUCGUUAUUUAGGGCGCAUGGUGGAUGCCUUGGCAUGCUGAGCCGAUGAAGGACGUGAAAGGCUGCGUUAAGCCUCGGGGAGUUGUCAAUUAAGCGUUGAUCCGAGGAUGUCCGAAUGGGGAAACCUGGCACCUGUUAUGGGGUGUUACCCUUCAGUGAAUUCAUAGCUGUUGUGGGGGCAACGCGGGGAAGUGAAACAUCUCAGUACCCGUAGGAAGAGAAAAUAAUAAUGAUUCUGCUAGUAGUGGCGAACGAACGUGGAUGAGGCUAAACCGUGUGCAUGUGAUACCUGGUAGGGGUUGUGUGUGCGGUGUUGUGGGCCCUGAUGAGGAUGGCUACUGACGUCCUGCCCGCGCAUUGUUGUUAGGUGAAGUGGUGUGGAAACGCCUGCCGUAGAAGGUGAUAGUCCUGUAGCUGAAGAUGAUGGUGUGUGGGUUGUUGGGUUGCCCGAGUAGCAGCGGGCUCGUGGAAUCUGCUGUGAAUCUGCCGGGACCACCCGGUAAGCCUAAAUACUCAGUGUGACCGAUAGUGGAUAGUACCGUGAGGGAAUGGUGAAAAGUACCCCGGGAGGGGAGUGAAAUAGUUCCUGAAACCAUGUGCUUACAAUCCGUCAGAGCACUUUUUGUGUGUGAUGGCGUGCCUUUUGAAGAAUGAGCCUGCGAGUCAGCGGCAUGUCGCGAGGUUAACCCGUGUGGGGUAGCCGUAGGGAAACCGAAUCCUAAUGGGGUGUUUUAGUGGCAUGUCCUGGACCCGAAGCGGGGUGAUCUACCCAUGGCCAGUGUGAAGCAGCAGUAAGAUGCUGUGGAGGCGCGAACCCACGUAGGUUGAAAACUGCGGGGAUGAGCUGUGGGUAGGGGUGAAAGGCCAAUCAAACUCCGUGAUAGCUGGUUCUCCCCGAAAUGCAUUUAGGUGCAGCGUCGCAUUAGCUUGGUGGAGGUAGAGCUACUGGUUGGUUGAGCGGGACUACAAUCUUAGCAAUGUCAGCCAAACUCCGAAUGCCAUUAAUGUGUUGUGCGGCAGUGAGACUGUGGGGGAUAAGCUUCAUAGUCGAGAGGGAAACAGCCCAGAUCGCCGGUUAAGGCCCCUAAGGGUGUGCUAAGUGGAAAAGGAUGUGGGAUCGCGAAGACAGCCAGGAGGUUGGCUUAGAAGCAGCCAUCCUUGAAAGAGUGCGUAAUAGCUCACUGGUCGAGUGGUUCUGCGCCGACAAUGUAGUGGGGCUCAAGCACACCGCCGAAGCCGCGGCAAUAAUAUUUUGUUAUUGGGUAGGGGAGCGUCGUGCACGUGUUGAAGCGUUACCGUGAGGAGGCGUGGAGUGUGUGCGAGUGAGAAUGCAGGCAUGAGUAACGAAUUGGAAGGUGAGAAUCCUUCCCGCCGGAUGACUAAGGGUUCCUGGGUCAAGUUCGUCUUCCCAGGGUGAGUCGGGACCUAAGGCGAGGCCGACAGGCGUAGUCGAUGGAUAACCAGUUGAUAUUCUGGUACCCGAGUAUAUGCGCCCCUGAUAAAGCACUGAUACUAACCACCGUAAGCUGUUGUGAUUGGCCUUCGGGUUAACAUGGUGGCAAGCCGUGGGGCCUGAUGUGUGGUUCAAGCGAUGGGGUGACACAGUGGGGUAGCCAUGCCGCUUAGUGGAUUGUUGGUGUAAGCGUGUAGGUGAUGGUGUAGGUAAAUCCGCACUUGUUAGCUGAGACGUGAUGCGUAGCCUUAAUUGGUGAAGUUGGUGAUCCCGUGCUGUCGAGAAAAGCCUCUAGCGAUGUAUAUACUCGGCCCGUACCCCAAACCGACACAGGUAGUCAGGUUGAAAAUACUAAGGCGUUCGGGUGAACUGUGGUUAAGGAACUCGGCAAAAUGCCCCCGUAACUUCGGGAGAAGGGGGACCCUAUGGCGUUAACACCCAUUUGCGGUGGGAAGCGUUGUGGGGUCGCAGAGAAUAGAGGGAAGCGACUGUUUAUCAAAAACACAGGUCCAUGCGAAGACGUUAAGUUGAUGUAUAUGGACUGACGCCUGCCCGGUGCUGGAAGGUUAAGAGGACCGGUUAAUCAAGCUUUGCUUGGUGAAGCUGAGAAUUUAAGCCCCAGUAAACGGCGGUGGUAACUAUAACCAUCCUAAGGUAGCGAAAUUCCUUGUCGGGUAAGUUCCGACCUGCACGAAUGGCGUAACGACUUCCCUGCUGUCUCAACCACAGGCCCGGUGAAAUUGCACUACGAGUAAAGAUGCUCGUUACGCGCGGCAGGACGAAAAGACCCCGGGACCUUCACUAUAGCUUGGUAUUGGUGUUCGGUUCGGUUUGUGUAGGAUAGGUGGGAGACUAUGAAACGUGUGCGCCAGCACGCGUGGAGUCGUUGUUGAAAUACCACUCUGAUCGGAUUGGAUACCUUAACCUUGGCCCAUGAUCUGGGUUGGGGACAGUGCCUGGUGGGUAGUUUAACUGGGGCGGUUGCCUCCCAAAAUGUAACGGAGGCGCCCAAAGGUUCCCUCAGCCUGGUUGGCAAUCAGGUGGUGAGUGUAAGUGCACAAGGGAGCUUGACUGUGAGAGUGACAGCUCGAACAGGGACGAAAGUCGGGACUAGUGAUCCGGCACCUACUUGUGGAUGUGGUGUCGCUCAACGGAUAAAAGGUACCCCGGGGAUAACAGGCUGAUCUUCCCCAAGAGUCCAUAUCGACGGGAUGGUUUGGCACCUCGAUGUCGGCUCGUCGCAUCCUGGGGCUGGAGUAGGUCCCAAGGGUUGGGCUGUUCGCCCAUUAAAGCGGCACGCGAGCUGGGUUCAGAACGUCGUGAGACAGUUCGGUCUCUAUCCGCCGCGCGCGUUGAAACUUGAAGAAGGCUGUCCCUAGUACGAGAGGACCGGGACGGACGUACCUCUAGUGUGCCAGUUGUUCCGCCAGGAGCAUCGCUGGUUGGCUACGUACGGAAGGGAUAACCGCUGAAAGCAUCUAAGCGGGAAGCCUGUUUUAAGAUGAGGUUUCAUUUGAGGUCCCCUAAAGACUAUGGGGUUGAUAGGCCAGACAUGGAAGCACCGCAAGGUGUGGAGUCUACUGGUACUAAUAGACCAAAACAAACACACACGAACC
This 3071-nucleotide ribosomal RNA is filed under the name Corynebacterium sp. LK14. RNAcentral's name for it is "23S ribosomal RNA". It matches the Rfam family "Bacterial large subunit ribosomal RNA". The record is from RNAcentral. Lineage: Bacteria; Bacillati; Actinomycetota; Actinomycetes; Mycobacteriales; Corynebacteriaceae.